GAGGGUAUAGCUCAGCAGUAGAAUGUGUGCCUAGCACGCACGAGGUCCUGGGUUCAAUCCCCAGUCCCUCCA
RNAcentral lists this transfer RNA (72 nucleotides) under Camelus bactrianus (Bactrian camel). It matches the Rfam family "tRNA". From Rfam's summary of the family: Transfer RNA (tRNA) molecules are approximately 80 nucleotides in length. Their secondary structure includes four short double-helical elements and three loops (D, anti-codon, and T loops). Lineage: Eukaryota; Metazoa; Chordata; Mammalia; Artiodactyla; Camelidae. RNAcentral also lists the same sequence under 1 other name. The record is from Rfam by way of RNAcentral.